CCUACGGGGUGCAGCAGUGAGGAAUAUUGGUCAAUGGGCGGAAGCCUGAACCAGCCAAGUAGCGUGCGGGAUGAAGGCCCUACGGGUCGUAAACCGCUUUUGCACGGGGAUAACACCCUCCACUUGUGGAGGUCUGCAGGUACCGUGCGAAUAAGGGCCGGCUAAUUCCGUGCCAGCAGCCGCGGUAAUACGGAAGGCCCGAGCGUUAUCCGGAUUCAUUGGGCUUAAAGGGAGCGUAGGCGGGCGUUCAAGUCAGCUGUAAAAUCGCGCGGCUCAACCGCGCCCCGCAGUUGGAACUGGAGGCCUUGAGUGCACAACAGGCAGGGGGAAUUGGUGGUGUAGCGGU
RNAcentral lists this ribosomal RNA (346 nucleotides) under uncultured bacterium. RNAcentral describes it as "partial 16S ribosomal RNA". It matches the Rfam family "Bacterial small subunit ribosomal RNA", at positions 338 to 682 of the family's 1533-position model. The record is from RNAcentral.